ACGCACGCUGGCGGCGUGCUUCACACCUGCAAGUCGAACGGAAAGGCCCUGCUUUUGUGGGGUGCUCGAGUGGCGAACGGGUGAGUAACACGUGAGUAAUCUGCCCUUGACUUUGGGAUAACUUCAGGAAACUGGGGCUAAUACCGGAUAGGAGCUCCUGCUGCAUGGUGGGGGUUGGAAAGUUUCGGCGGUUGGGGAUGGACUCGCGGCUUAUCAGCUUGUUGGUGGGGUAGUGGCUUACCAAGGCUUUGACGGGUAGCCGGCCUGAGAGGGUGACCGGCCACAUUGGGACUGAGAUACGGCCCAGACUCCUACGGGAGGCAGCAGUGGGGAAUAUUGCACAAUGGGCGGAAGCCUGAUGCAGCAACGCCGCGUGCGGGAUGACGGCCUUCGGGUUGUAAACCGCUUUCGCCUGUGACGAAGCGUGAGUGACGGUAAUGGGUAAAGAAGCACCGGCUAACUACGUG
This 467-nucleotide ribosomal RNA is filed under the name uncultured bacterium. RNAcentral describes it as "partial 16S ribosomal RNA". It matches the Rfam family "Bacterial small subunit ribosomal RNA", at positions 29 to 507 of the family's 1533-position model. The record is from RNAcentral.